ACGGAAGGCAGCAGUGGGGAAUAUUGCACAAUGGGGGAAACCCUGAUGCAGCGACGCCGCGUGAGUGAAGAAGUAUUUCGGUAUGUAAAGCUCUAUCAGCAGGGAAGAAAAUGACGGUACCUGACUAAGAAGCCCCGGCUAACUACGUGCCAGCAGCCGCGGUAAUACGUAGGGGGCAAGCGUUAUCCGGAUUUACUGGGUGUAAAGGGAGCGUAGACGGCAGAGCAAGUCUGAAGUGAAAGCCCGGGGCUCAACUCCGGGACUGCUUUGGAAACUGCCCAGCUAGAGUGCAGGAGGGGCAAGCGGAAUUCCUAGUGUAGCGGUGAAAUGCGUAGAUAUUAGGAGGAACACCGGUGGCGAAGGCGGCUUGCUGGACUGUAACUGACGUUGAGGCUCGAAAGCGUGGGGAGCAAACAGGAUUAGAUACCCUGGUA
RNAcentral lists this ribosomal RNA (434 nucleotides) under uncultured Clostridium sp. Its description in RNAcentral is "partial 16S ribosomal RNA". It matches the Rfam family "Bacterial small subunit ribosomal RNA", at positions 341 to 792 of the family's 1533-position model. Lineage: Bacteria; Bacillati; Bacillota; Clostridia; Eubacteriales; Clostridiaceae. The record is from RNAcentral.